Molecule: transfer RNA, 93 nt
Filed under: subsurface metagenome
Description: tRNA-Thr
Source: RNAcentral
UUAUAGCCAUAGAUAAAAGAUAAAACCAAUGGUUUUGUACGCCGUUAUUACUGUGUACAUAGCAGUGGUCGGGUUCUACUUCUGGAUUACAAU